This 119-nucleotide ribosomal RNA is filed under the name Pteropus alecto (black flying fox). The record is from RNAcentral. Lineage: Eukaryota; Metazoa; Chordata; Mammalia; Chiroptera; Pteropodidae.
GUCUACGGCCAUACUACCUUGAAUGCGCCCGAUCUUGUCUGAGCUCGGAAGCAAAGCAGGGUUGGGCCUGGUUAGUACUUGGAUGGAAGACUGCCUGGGACUACCAGGUGCUGUAGGCU